UCUACGGGGCGCUGCAGUGGGGAAUAUUGGACAAUGGGCGAAAGCCUGAUCCAGCCAUGCCGCGUGUGUGAAGAAGGCCUUCGGGUUGUAAAGCACUUUCAGUGGGGAAGAAAGCCUUGGGGCUAAUACCCUCGAGGAAGGACAUCACCCACAGAAGAAGCACCGGCUAACUCCGUGCCAGCAGCCGCGGUAAUACGGAGGGUGCGAGCGUUAAUCGGAAUUACUGGGCGUAAAGCGCGCGUAGGCGGUCUGAUAAGCCGGUUGUGAAAGCCCCGGGCUCAACCUGGGAACGGCAUCCGGAACUGUCAGGCUAGAGUGCAGGAGAGGAAGGUAGAAUUCCCGGUGUAGCGGUGAAAUGCGUAGAGAUCGGGAGGAAUACCAGUGGCGAAGGCGGCCUUCUGGACUGACACUGACGCUGAGGUGCGAAAGCGUGGGUAGCAAACAGGAUUAGAUACCCGAGUAGUC
Molecule: ribosomal RNA, 465 nt
Filed under: Vreelandella stevensii
Lineage: Bacteria; Pseudomonadati; Pseudomonadota; Gammaproteobacteria; Oceanospirillales; Halomonadaceae
Description: partial 16S ribosomal RNA
Rfam family: Bacterial small subunit ribosomal RNA
Source: RNAcentral